This 500-nucleotide ribosomal RNA is filed under the name uncultured bacterium. RNAcentral's name for it is "partial 16S ribosomal RNA". It matches the Rfam family "Bacterial small subunit ribosomal RNA", at positions 30 to 523 of the family's 1533-position model. The record is from RNAcentral.
AUUGAACGCUGGCGGAAUGCUUUACACAUGCAAGUCGAACAGCAGCACGGACUUCGGUCUGGUGGCGAGUGGCGAACGGGUGAGUAAUGUAUCGGAACGUGCCCAGUCGUGGGGGAUAACGUAGAGAAAAUUACGCUAAUACCGCAUACGAUCUAUGGAUGAAAGCGGGGGAUCGCAAGACCUCGCGCGAUUGGAGCGGCCGAUAUCAGAUUAGGUAGUUGGUGGGGUAAAGGCCCACCAAGCCAACGAUCUGUAGCUGGUCUGAGAGGACGACCAGCCACACUGGAACUGGGACACGGUCCAGACUCCUACGGGAGGCAGCAGUGGGGAAUUUUGGACAAUGGGCGAAAGCCUGAUCCAGCCAUUCCGCGUGCAGGAUGAAGGCCCUCGGGUUGUAAACUGCUUUUGUACAGAACGAAAAGGUUUCUACUAAUACUAGGAGCUCAUGACGGUACUGUAAGAAUAAGCACCGGCUAACUACGUGCCAGCAGCCGCCGUAA